CCGUGCUAGACGGGGAGGUAGCGGUGCCCUGUACCUGCAAUCCGCUAUAGCAGGGUUUAAUUCCUAACUUAGGUUUCAUUUUGUAGGGUCUGGCUGCAGUAAGUGGCGUUGACGGUUUGGCCCUGCGCAACGAAGAUUCAUGAACCCCGUCAGAUCCGGAAGGAAGCAGCGGUAAGUGAACCCCUUCGUGUGCCGCAGGUAAGCCUGACCUGAGUUAACUGCUGUGGGACCGCCUGUAAAAUGCUAUCGAAGUUAGGUGCCGG
RNAcentral lists this signal recognition particle RNA (263 nucleotides) under Clostridiaceae bacterium. RNAcentral's name for it is "signal recognition particle sRNA large type". It matches the Rfam family "Bacterial large signal recognition particle RNA". From Rfam's summary of the family: The signal recognition particle (SRP) is a universally conserved ribonucleoprotein involved in the co-translational targeting of proteins to membranes. Lineage: Bacteria; Bacillati; Bacillota; Clostridia; Eubacteriales; Clostridiaceae. The record is from RNAcentral.